UACUGGGGGGGCAAGCGUUGUUCGGAAUUACUGGGCGUAAAGGGCUCGUAGGUGGCCAACUAAGUCAGACGUGAAAUCCCUCAGCUUAACUGGGGAACUGCGUCUGAUACUGGAUGGCUUGAGAUUGGGAGAGGGACGCGGAAUUCCAGGUGUAGCGGUGAAAUGCGUAGAUAUCUGGAGGAACACCGGUGGCGAAGGCGGCGUCCUGGACCAACACUGACACUGAGGAGCGAAAGCCAGGGGAGCAAACGGG
Molecule: ribosomal RNA, 253 nt
Filed under: uncultured bacterium
Lineage: Bacteria
Description: partial 16S ribosomal RNA
Rfam family: Bacterial small subunit ribosomal RNA
Source: RNAcentral